RNAcentral lists this ribosomal RNA (343 nucleotides) under uncultured fungus. RNAcentral describes it as "eukaryotic LSU rRNA". The stretch from base 1 to 71 matches the Rfam family "5.8S ribosomal RNA", at positions 84 to 154 of the family's 154-position model. Lineage: Eukaryota; Fungi. The record is from RNAcentral.
GUGAAUCAUCGAGUCUUUGAACGCACCUUGCGUUCCCUGGUAUUCCGGGGAGCAUGCCUGUUUGAGUGUCAUGGUAUUCUCAACCUUCGAUAACUUUGUUGUUGUCGAAGGCUUGGACUUGGAGGUUUGUGUCUGGCUUCUCGUCAAGUCGGCUCCUCUUAAAUGCAUUAGCGCGAGUGUAACGGAUCGCUUCGAUGUGAUAAUUAUCUGCGUCGUAGUCGUGAAGUAAACAUAAGCUUGUGCUUCUAACCGUCCUUCAGUUGGACAACGGUUUACUCUGACAUCUGGCCUCAAAUCAGGUAUGGACUACCCGCUGAACUUAAGCAUAUCAAUAAGCGGUAGG